Molecule: transfer RNA, 70 nt
Filed under: Marmota monax (woodchuck)
Lineage: Eukaryota; Metazoa; Chordata; Mammalia; Rodentia; Sciuridae
Description: tRNA.Ser
Rfam family: tRNA (bases 8-66)
About the family: Transfer RNA (tRNA) molecules are approximately 80 nucleotides in length.
Source: RNAcentral
GCUGGACGUAGCUCAGUGGUAGAGUGCUUGCCUAGAAUGCACGAGGCCCUGGGUUCCAUCCCCAGCAACA